CAUCGGGUCACAGCAGCGAAAGCAUCUGCUGGUGUAACGCGAUCAGACGAGCAGGGUAAAACCCAAUUCUCCUGCAUAUUUAACAGCCACGGCUCCCUCAGACCUUGAAAUCUGAGAGCACUCAACAGCCUCUUCUUAACCGUGCCCAGAUGGCCCCCGGUUCGCCCCACUCACCUGGUGCUCGCAGGCUGGUUGGCAGCAGCACAGCUGCAUCACGCCCAGCAGCGCACCCCACCCAGCCUUGGGCAAGAGGGAAAAGUCAAAAGGGGGCCCCAAAAACUCUGGGAGGAUGUGUGAGCACCCAGCAGAGGAGCCUCAACUUCUCUACAAAGGUCUCCAGUGGGAAUUAAUGGAGACUGUUAAGAAUAUUAAGAAUACAACUUGAAGGAAAAAUAAAAAUCUGAAGCCCACCCAGCAGAUCACUGGUGAGCCCCACGGGAGGCACACGAAGUCAACCCAGUUGCCAAGGAUGCCCAAAGCAAGAUCCCAGGCAGAGCCCUCAUGCUAAGAGGACGAGGCAGCACCACAAGAUCUGCACGAUAAAUCAUUCUGGUCGGCCUGCUCGGAACUGAACUGUCAGAACUCAUUAACCAAGCAGCAGCAGUGAUGAUUUCUCAAAUUCUUUAAAACCAAGGCUUGCUCACAAAUAAAACUGACAGAACACCAGGGGACAGAAGUAAUACCAAAAAUGUGUCGCCUUUUUGUUACUGAUGUGAUGCCACAGAACACACCCAACCAUUUUUGUAUUGUGGUUGUCUAACAGAAGACCUUUGAAGGACUUACACACCCUCACUGUACAGUAGCAAAAGAAAACCCAAGAAAAGCAGUUUUUCUUAAGGCACAGCUAGCAUCAGAAGACCCUUUAUGUGCACAGGGCUCAGGGCACAAAUUGCUUUAGCAGCCCAGGAAAUGGGUAAUACUUUAAAAAGUCUAUCUGCAUCCUUGAUAAAAUAAUUCUUGCGGUGUUUCUGCUGAUGCACGGACCAGAAGUGCUGCAGAGCACAGCAGAGAAGUUUCUCCGAGAUGGGUGAACUAGCUCAGUGCAGUUUUCACCAUGUCCAUACGUUAACUAAUGCAUGAUACCAACAUUUAGUUAGAUGACGUUACUGAUCCAUUUAUUUGACAAAUUAAGUUCAAACUUUUUUUUAUUAAGCACAUUCCACGGUACAAAGCUUUAGAUCAUGAACGAUAUCUGUACAAUUUAACAGUUUCAAUAAGCUGUUCAUACACCAACUUUCCAAACAGAUAAUUGGCAAACAUAAUUACAAGUUAGAAUUAGACUAUCCCAGUGCUUUGAAACAUUA
Molecule: long non-coding RNA, 1304 nt
Organism: Anas platyrhynchos (mallard)
Lineage: Eukaryota; Metazoa; Chordata; Aves; Anseriformes; Anatidae
Source: RefSeq, a predicted model, not a curated record